Molecule: ribosomal RNA, 369 nt
Filed under: uncultured Psychrobacter sp.
Lineage: Bacteria; Pseudomonadati; Pseudomonadota; Gammaproteobacteria; Moraxellales; Moraxellaceae
Description: bacterial SSU rRNA
Rfam family: Bacterial small subunit ribosomal RNA
Source: RNAcentral
CUCCGUGGUUAAUACCCACGGACGAUGACAUUAGCUGCAGAAUAAGCACCGGCUAACUCUGUGCCAGCAGCCGCGGUAAUACAGAGGGUGCAAGCGUUAAUCGGAAUUACUGGGCGUAAAGCGAGCGUAGGUGGCUUGAUAAGUCAGAUGUGAAAUCCCCGGGCUUAACCUGGGAACUGCAUCUGAAACUGUUAGGCUAGAGUAGGUGAGAGGGAAGUAGAAUUUCAGGUGUAGCGGUGAAAUGCGUAGAGAUCUGAAGGAAUACCGAUGGCGAAGGCAGCUUCCUGGCAUCAUACUGACACUGAGGCUCGAAAGCGUGGGUAGCAAACAGGAUUAGAUACCCUGGUAGUCCACGCCGUAAACGAUGUC